UAAAUACCAGACUGGAUUGCCUUGGCAAAAGGAGAAACGAUUUCUUUUUGCACCUGAAAGAACGGGGUCAGCCUCAGGACCAUAGCUCACUUGGAAACGAAGUGGCGCCUGAGCUGGUCAGGGAGAAGGGAACAACUGCCUAUUUGAAGCACUAGAGGAUGGUGUUCAGGGCAGUAGGUCAAGACUGAAAUACUGGCACUGUUGAGCUUAUUGAGCUUUAUAUUAACUUCACUGGAGGCAGAAUUUCACUUGAGGUUUCCCUCAAUAAGGGAAAUCCUGCAAACAGUCGACAUGUCCUCUCCCUCUUGUCAUCUCUCUGUCAUUCUUUUCACUUGCAUUUCAAGAUUAGAAAUUAUUGGAUAAUUUAUCGGAUCUUUCUGAGGCAUGAAAACUUGGUAGAGUAAAAAAGGGGAUUUUCUUUUCAGCUGCUGAUCAGAAGUGUAUCUCUCCAUGUAACUAAUAGGGUUUCAUGGACAUGAUGGAAGCCCUCAGGGAAAAGAAUAUCAUCACUGCAAGUUGUAGAGUCGUUCAGGGGAAUUUGGUGAUUUCUGUAUUCAGAUCUUUUGCAAGAGCUUGGUCAUUUUGUUUGCCUGAUUGCAAGACCGCCUGCGAAAGUGUCACAGGCUAUGAGGCUUACCAUCAGUGGGCUCUGGAGAACUUCUGUCAGCUGGCUUUGCUCAGCAGAAGAUCCUUGCAGUCUCAUGAAAGGAACUGUUCUUGGACAACGUCCAAUUUUUAUUCAGGCCAUAUGCAAAGUCCUCAAAAAUAUCCUUUCCAAAUGCAUGUCGCUAUAUGGAUUUCUGGUUAUUGGAUGCUUCAGGUAAGUUUUAAGAAAGGCUGGUUUGCUAUUUCUAUUGGGAAAGUAGCGUACUUGU
This 875-nucleotide long non-coding RNA is filed under the name Struthio camelus australis. Its description in RNAcentral is "lncRNA (ENSSCUG00000011912.1)". The record is from RNAcentral. Lineage: Eukaryota; Metazoa; Chordata; Aves; Struthioniformes; Struthionidae.